RNAcentral lists this long non-coding RNA (1343 nucleotides) under Medicago truncatula (barrel medic). Its description in RNAcentral is "long non-coding RNA (MTRU_LNC005313)". The record is from RNAcentral. Lineage: Eukaryota; Viridiplantae; Streptophyta; Magnoliopsida; Fabales; Fabaceae.
GAUGCCUUAAAUGUGAUAUCGAUAUGAAUUUUUAUUCAUUCAUAAUGUCUCGAUGACCCAAAAGGAAUUAAUGGAUAUUGUUUGUUUUAAAAAUGUUGCAAGUUCUUGGAUGCCUCGAUGACCCUACAUGAAACACUAUGAACGAUUCAUUCAUAGUGUAAAAGUUGCAUGAUGCCAUAGAUAUUGGUAUGAAUUUUUAUUCAUAAUAUAAAGGAUGGAUCUGUUGUGCUCUUAUGACCCUGAGUGUAAUUCUUGUAAAUUCCCACAAUGAGAUGGAACAUAGGAUGCCUGAAUGACCCGAAAGGAAUAUGAAUCAUGGAUAUUAUUUGUUCCAUAAAUUUUUGAGGUAUUGGAUGCCUGAUUUGACCCUAAAAGGAACAUUAUUAACACUUCGAUGAUAUGAAUUUGAGUUCAUAAUAUAAAGGUUUGUAUUCGUUGUGCUUUUAUGACCUUGAAUUCAUUUUUAGACCGUGAUUUGUCAUUUCAUGCUAUGUGGGAAACCUUAAUGAUCCAAAAAGAUAUAUGAAUUUUAUAUGCUCCAUUAAUUUACUGUAGUGCUUUUUCGUAAUAUAAAGGUUUGUACUCAUUGUGCUUUUAUGACCUUUUUGCCACUGCUAUAUGGGUUGCUUCAAUACUUCUCUAUUUUUGUCUUUGAAGGUUCUGAUAUGUUUUAAAGAAGGUGAAACACGCUCCUUUCAUCUUCUUUAAAAAACGGAAUAUAAAAAAUUUGCAGUUUCACCUUCAACGGUAACAUCUCUACACUUUUUCAGGUUUUAAUUCUUGAAUUUUUUAAUAGUGGAAUUGGUAGUACCAGAAUGAUUCAGCAAACUCUGCUUUUGUAUGGAUACCCUUUUGGCACCGAUGUCUUGAAAGAUAAUUUAUUCGUUGGGCUAGGUAAUGGAAUUUUCACAAACCCUUCUGGUUUUUUAAUAACCGGUACAUGUUGUUAGGCUACUAACCAUUUUCACAAGAACCUUCAAUUCUCUGCUUCAUACAAAUAUAGACAAAUCCUUCGUAUACGAGCCUAAAUUUUAAAACGGUUAGGGUGCCUUGACAACCCUAAAGGAAUGAAUCUGUAGAAAUUUAUUGUUGGAUGGUUAGAUGAAUCUAAAAGGAAUACCGUGGCCACUAUAUUCACAAUGUAAUCCAUUACUCGAUGACCGAAAGGAAUUAAUGUAUACUAUUUGUUUAAAAAAUGGUGCAAAUGUUUGGAUGCCUCGAUACCCUAAAGGAAACACGAUGAACAAUUCAUUCAUAGUGCAAAAGUUGCUUAUUGCCCUAAAUGUGAUAUUGGUAUGAAUUUGUAUUCUUAAUAUAAAGGAUGGAUCCAUUGUGCUCUUAUG